RNAcentral lists this ribosomal RNA (488 nucleotides) under Bacillus subtilis. RNAcentral describes it as "bacterial SSU rRNA". It matches the Rfam family "Bacterial small subunit ribosomal RNA", at positions 393 to 871 of the family's 1533-position model. The record is from RNAcentral. Lineage: Bacteria; Bacillati; Bacillota; Bacilli; Caryophanales; Bacillaceae.
CACGCCGCGUGAGUGAUGAAGGUUUUCGGAUCGUAAAGCUCUGUUGUUAGGGAAGAACAAGUACCGUUCGAAUAGGGCGGUACCUUGACGGUACCUAACCAGAAAGCCACGGCUAACUACGUGCCAGCAGCCGCGGUAAUACGUAGGUGGCAAGCGUUGUCCGGAAUUAUUGGGCGUAAAGGGCUCGCAGGCGGUUUCUUAAGUCUGAUGUGAAAGCCCCCGGCUCAACCGGGGAGGGUCAUUGGAAACUGGGGAACUUGAGUGCAGAAGAGGAGAGUGGAAUUCCACGUGUAGCGGUGAAAUGCGUAGAGAUGUGGAGGAACACCAGUGGCGAAGGCGACUCUCUGGUCUGUAACUGACGCUGAGGAGCGAAAGCGUGGGGAGCGAACAGGAUUAGAUACCCUGGUAGUCCACGCCGUAAACGAUGAGUGCUAAGUGUUAGGGGGUUUCCGCCCCUUAGUGCUGCAGCUAACGCAUUAAGCACUCCG